UCUCCGUUGGUGAACCAGCGGAGGGAUCAUUACCGAGUUUACAACUCCCAAACCCCUGUGAACAUACCAAUUGUUGCCUCGGCGGAUCAGCCCGCUCCCGGUAAAACGGGACGGCCCGCCAGAGGACCCCUAAACUCUGUUUCUAUAUGUAACUUCUGAGUAAAACCAUAAAUAAAUCAAAACUUUCAACAACGGAUCUCUUGGUUCUGGCAUCGAUGAAGAACGCAGCAAAAUGCGAUAAGUAAUGUGAAUUGCAGAAUUCAGUGAAUCAUCGAAUCUUUGAACGCACAUUGCGCCCGCCAGUAUUCUGGCGGGCAUGCCUGUUCGAGCGUCAUUUCAACCCUCAAGCCCCCGGGUUUGGUGUUGGGGAUCGGCGAGCCCUUGCGGCAAGCCGGCCCCGAAAUCUAGUGGCGGUCUCGCUGCAGCUUCCAUUGCGUAGUAGUAAAACCCUCGCAACUGGUACGCGGCGCGGCCAAGCCGUUAAACCCCCAACUUCUGAAUGUUGACCUCGGAUCAGGUAGGAAUACCCGCUGAACUUAA
RNAcentral lists this ribosomal RNA (540 nucleotides) under Fusarium fujikuroi. Its description in RNAcentral is "eukaryotic LSU rRNA". The stretch from base 181 to 334 matches the Rfam family "5.8S ribosomal RNA". RNAcentral also lists the same sequence under 2 other names. The record is from RNAcentral. Lineage: Eukaryota; Fungi; Ascomycota; Sordariomycetes; Hypocreales; Nectriaceae.